Molecule: ribosomal RNA, 145 nt
Filed under: uncultured bacterium
Lineage: Bacteria
Description: partial 16S ribosomal RNA
Rfam family: Bacterial small subunit ribosomal RNA
Source: RNAcentral
AAUGGGCGCAAGCCUGAUCCAGCAAUGCCGCGUGCAUGAAGAAGGCCUUCGGGUUGUAAACUGCUUUUGUCAGGGAAGAAAUCCUCUGGGUUAAUACCUCGGGGGGAUGACGGUACCUAAAGAAUAAGCACCGGCUAACUACAUG